UACGUAGGGGGCAAGCGUUGUCCGGAAUCAUUGGGCGUAAAGCGCGUGUAGGCGGUUUGGUAAGUCCGCUGUAAAAGUCAAGGGCUCAACCCUUGAAAGCCGGUGGAUACUGUCAGACUAGAGUGCGGAAGAGGCGAGUGGAAUUCCUGGUGUAGCGGUGAAAUGCGCAGAUAUCAGGAGGAACACCAAUUGCGAAGGCAGCUCGCUGGGACGUUACUGACGCUGAGACGCGAAAGCGUGGGGAGCAAACAGG
Molecule: ribosomal RNA, 253 nt
Filed under: uncultured bacterium
Lineage: Bacteria
Description: partial 16S ribosomal RNA
Rfam family: Bacterial small subunit ribosomal RNA
Source: RNAcentral